AGUCUCUCCGUCAGUGAUCGUGGUUAUUGUUGCUGUUGUGUUGGCUGUUCUGGUUACUGCUGUUAUUCUUUGGGUGGUUCGCAAACAAAGAGCUGAUAACAGAAAAGGGACUAAUGACUCUGUGGAGCAGAAAGAUGAUGCGACUUACACUGAGAUUGACACAAACUGGAAAAUCGAAGCCAAAAAUAACAAGGUUCAUGAUGACUAUGAAGUGAUUUAUUCUUUUAUCACACAAGCAACU
This is a long non-coding RNA of Carassius gibelio (silver crucian carp), 241 nucleotides long. RefSeq lists it as uncharacterized. The transcript has 4 exons. The record is from RefSeq and is a predicted model, not a curated record. Lineage: Eukaryota; Metazoa; Chordata; Actinopteri; Cypriniformes; Cyprinidae.